GACGAACGCUGGCGGCGUGCUUAAUACAUGCAAGUCAACUGAACUUAAGAUAGCAAUAUUUUAAGGGAGGUGGCGCACGGGUGAGUAACACGUAGGUAAUCUGCCUUUAGGUCUGACACAACCCCGAGAAAUCGGGGCUAAUAUCAGAUGAUGCAGCGGCUCGACAUCGAGACAGUUGUUAAACCUUCGGGGCCGUAAAGAUGAGCCUGCGUCUGAUUAGGUAGUUGGCGGAGUAAAAGCCCACCAAGCCUGCGAUCAGUAGCUGGUCUGAGAGGAUGAUCAGCCACACUGGAACUGAGACACGGUCCAGACUCCUACGGGAGGCAGCAGUAAGGAAUAUUGCUCAAUGGCCGAAAGGCUGAAGCAGCAACGCCGCGUGGAGGAUGAAAUACUUUUGUAUGUAAACUCCUGUAAGAAGGGAAAAUAAACAGAUUUUCUGUGUUGAUUGUACCUUCAGAGUAAG
RNAcentral lists this ribosomal RNA (463 nucleotides) under uncultured bacterium. RNAcentral's name for it is "bacterial SSU rRNA". It matches the Rfam family "Bacterial small subunit ribosomal RNA", at positions 28 to 490 of the family's 1533-position model. The record is from RNAcentral.